GGAGGAUUGGCCGAGUGGCAAGGCACCGGCGCAGUUAGCCGUGGUCGGGUGAAAACCCGCGCACGUUCGAUCCGUGCAUCCUCCG
This 85-nucleotide transfer RNA is filed under the name Streptomyces roseirectus. RNAcentral's name for it is "Streptomyces sp. CRXT-G-22 tRNA-Thr". The record is from RNAcentral. Lineage: Bacteria; Bacillati; Actinomycetota; Actinomycetes; Kitasatosporales; Streptomycetaceae.